Molecule: long non-coding RNA, 1650 nt
Organism: Callithrix jacchus (white-tufted-ear marmoset)
Lineage: Eukaryota; Metazoa; Chordata; Mammalia; Primates; Cebidae
Source: Ensembl
CUUGGCACAUAGCAGAUGCUCAGUUGUUAAUAUUAUACUCUUUUCACUCUUGCGUGGGUGAUGAGGGCUCUGGGUGCAUCAGAGGUGGCUGUCCCCUGCCCCCAGCCCCCAGUAAAUCUGGCCUUAAGAGUCCCCAAGGGAACACACAGGACACAUGGGGGCCUCGGGGCUGGGGUGGCUCCUUGAGGCUCUGACCGUUUUCUGUCUUCCCUUUCUUCUCAAGCUACAAUAAUUUAACAGCCUCGGGAGCGAAAAGAUAGCUGGGGGAGCAAACGUGGAAGCACUGAAAUUAAAGUUAAAUUGGAAUAAAUUAAAUUAACUGGCAACUGUCCGGUGCUCACCCCUCAGUCCAAAUUACUGUGGUGCGUUUCUGGCUGCAAAGGAGAGGGCUUAGGCAGUGGAUCCUGGCGCUUCCUGGCAGCUCCCCCAGAAGCCGGAGUGUGGGGAGCUCUGGGUUCCCCACUUGCCCCGAGGAGGCGAAUGCCUCUGGCAACUUCUCCUAGCUCAGGGAGGAAAUGGGGGGAGCACAGGUAGCCCGAGGCUCAAGCUGGCCGCGCCCACCUCUGUCUCUCCACACUUCCUGCUUCCACCACCAGGCCGCUGGCACCGUGGGGCGUGACCCCGAGACAGAUAAUCCCCAGCUCCCGGCCCCUCUGCUUAAGGAGGUGCAAGCCUGACUGGUAGCCAUGGGGCCUAGAGCACCCACUAGGUUCACAGAGAUCUUGACCCCUUGGGCUUCUAAGGCCUAAGUUAGAAUUGGGGGAAGUGGGAGUCCCAGCUGCCCCGGCUGCCCCGGCUGCCCCGUCGUCUCUCCUAGGCUGCCCUACAUUCAGGACAAAGCAAACCAGAUUCCAGACCAGGCUGAGGCUCACGGGCUCUGCUUCCUUCAGCUUUCCAUCCAGUUCCCCCAGGGUUCAAAGAAGAAAAUUCGCCACAAGCACAGAAUUCUUUCAAGUCCCGGCUUUUAAAUCCAUGUGCACGUUCCGUUCUGCUCGGAUCAUUCUGGCGGCUGUGUGGCAAAUGGAGCAUUUGGGAGCAAGAGAAGAACAAAGGAGGCCAGGAAGGAGACUCUCACAGAGGCCCUAAGAAAAUGUGGUGGCUUGGACUGGAGGGUAACGAUGAAUAUUGUGAGACGUAGUGAUUUGGGGGUGUGUUUUGAAGAUGUGACUGCAAGAAUAUGCCAUUAAAUUAGAUUUAAGAUUUAGAGAGAGAAAUCAAACAAUUGGGACAAUAGAUGGACAAAGCUGUCAUUUUCUUGAAUGGGAAACACUGGGGAAGGAGCAGCUUUGAGAGAAAAGUGGAGUUUGGUUUGGGAUAUGUUAACUUUGGGUUUUCUAUUAGACAUGCAAUUAGAGAAGGCAACUGGAUGUUUGAGUCUGGAGUCAGGGUGGAGGUCAGGGCUGGAGACAACUGAGAAGUCCUCAGCACAUGAUAUUUAAAGUCUUGGGACUGGAAGAGAUCACUUAGAAAGUGAGGGAGGAGAGAGAGGAGAAGAGAUCUGAGCCUGAGUCCUGGGUCUUUGCAGCACCUGGAGGUUAUGAAGAUGAGAAGGAUCCAGCACAGAAGACUGAGAAGGAAUAGCCAGCAGAGUAGACACAGCAGGAGAGGAGAGGGUGGACACAACAGGAGAGGAGAGGGUGGACACAGCAG